GCCAGAUGCAAUAGUGUACACUUGCAGUCCCAGCUACUCAGGAGGCUGAGGCUGGAGGAUCACAGGAGCCAAAGAGUUCAGGGUCAGCCUGGGCAACAUAGGGAGACCCUGACUCUU
This 117-nucleotide small RNA is filed under the name Marmota monax (woodchuck). Lineage: Eukaryota; Metazoa; Chordata; Mammalia; Rodentia; Sciuridae. The record is from RNAcentral.